Small nucleolar RNA from Talpa occidentalis (Iberian mole), 205 nucleotides. RefSeq annotates it as small nucleolar RNA U3. NCBI's taxonomy places the organism in Eukaryota, Metazoa, Chordata, Mammalia, Eulipotyphla, Talpidae. The record is from RefSeq and is a predicted model, not a curated record. The transcript has a single exon.
AAGACUAUACUUACAGGGAUUUUUUCCUCAUAUCUAUUAGAGGUUUCUCUGAGUGUACAGAGCAUUAGCAACUACCAGGAGGAGGCACAUCUUCUCAUCUGAGCAUGGAACUGGCUUUAGGUGUUAGUUUCACAACUACCUGUUGCCAUUGAGGAUCAGUCUUUUCUUUCUUUGGGAGCACAAGGGAUGAAGACAUAUUCUGAGU